UGAGGAAUAUUGGUCAAUGGACGCAAGUCUGAACCAGCCAAGUAGCGUGCAGGAUGACGGCCCUAUGGGUUGUAAACUGCUUUUAUAUGGGGAUAAAGUGGGGAACGUGUUCCCUUUUGCAGGUACCAUAUGAAUAAGGACCGGCUAAUUCCGUGCCAGCAGCCGCGGUAAUACGGAAGGUUCGGGCGUUAUCCGGAUUUAUUGGGUUUAAAGGGAGCGUAGGCCGUUUGGUAAGCGUGUUGUGAAAUGUAGGAGCUCAACUUCUAGAUUGCAGCGCGAACUGUCAGACUUGAGUGCGCACAACGUAGGCGGAAUUCAUGGUGUAGCGAUGAAAUGCUUAGAUAUCAUGAAGAACUCCGAUUGGGAAGGCAGCUUACGGGAGCGCAACUGACGCUGAAGCUCGAAGGUGCGGGUAUCGAACAGG
This 424-nucleotide ribosomal RNA is filed under the name Verrucomicrobiota bacterium. RNAcentral describes it as "Verrucomicrobia bacterium partial 16S ribosomal RNA". It matches the Rfam family "Bacterial small subunit ribosomal RNA", at positions 355 to 776 of the family's 1533-position model. Lineage: Bacteria; Pseudomonadati; Verrucomicrobiota. The record is from RNAcentral.